AGGGGGAGGCAAUGAAGCAAAGGAGAAAGAGUGAAAAAGCCAUAGGAACAGGCCAGAGGCCUCAGCCCCUGCCGCAGAGUGGAGUUGGUCUUAAAACUUCGGGGACUGGUCGACCGAGGACCCGGCUCCAGGGUAGUGAAGAAACUGAGGUUUGGUAAUAAUAAUUUGCCCAAAACCAAGUUGUUAGCAGUGCAUUGAGCAGCUGUCAUUCCCAUCAGCGUGCACCUGCAGGAGGCGAUAGAUAACUUCUUGGGUGCCAACUCCGUCCUCCAUGUUUCCUUCUUAAUGGCCAGAUCCAUACCUUUGCUGGGAAAAUCUACUGGAAGACAAGAUCUCUGUGCAACACAAAACACGUGUGGUAUUAGCAAGUUUGACACUUGUAUUCAUUCAACACGUUCAUUCAUUUACCUAAUAAAUAUUUAC
Acinonyx jubatus (cheetah) is the source of this 423-nucleotide long non-coding RNA. RefSeq lists it as uncharacterized. The record is from RefSeq and is a predicted model, not a curated record. Lineage: Eukaryota; Metazoa; Chordata; Mammalia; Carnivora; Felidae. The transcript has 3 exons.